AUUAUUUUUUUAGAUUCUUUUUUAUUGUUGAAAAAAUUAAAAACAAAUUGUUUUUUACCAUAAUUAAAAUUUAUAAUAUUUCAAUUUUUAAUUUUUAGUUUUAAAUAAAAAUUACAAAUAUGAAAAAUAAAAAAAUUUUGUUAUAAAUUAAAUUAAUUUAUUUAUAUUAAAAAUAUUUUUUAUAAUUUUUAUUUUUUUUAUUUUUUUAAAAAAAAA
This 216-nucleotide ribosomal RNA is filed under the name Meloidogyne incognita (southern root-knot nematode). RNAcentral's name for it is "partial 16S ribosomal RNA". Lineage: Eukaryota; Metazoa; Nematoda; Chromadorea; Rhabditida; Meloidogynidae. The record is from RNAcentral.